GCCAGUAGUCAUAUGCUUGUCUACAAAGAACUAAGCCAUGCAUGUGUUAGUAUGAACUGAAUUUAUAUAGUGAAAACUGCGAAUGGCUCAUUACAUCAGUUAUAGUUUAUUUGAUAGAUAUGCGUUCAGCACUACAUGGAUACCUGUAGUAACAUAGAGCUAAUACAUGCAUAAGAAUCUGACUUUACGGAAGGAUUUGCACUUAUUAGAUACCAAACCAAUAUCCUCUCGGGGAUUUAUUAGGUGAAUCACAAUAACUGAACAAAUCGCAUAGUCUUGCACUGGCGAUGUAUCAAUCAAGUUUCUGCCCUAUCAACUUGAUGUUAGUGUAUUGUACUAACAUGGUUUUUACGGGUAACAGAGGAUUAGGGUUCGAUCCUGGAGAAGGAGCAUGAGAAAUGGCUACUAUUUCUAAGGAAAGCAGCAGGC
This 429-nucleotide ribosomal RNA is filed under the name uncultured eukaryote. RNAcentral describes it as "bacterial SSU rRNA". It matches the Rfam family "Eukaryotic small subunit ribosomal RNA", at positions 16 to 433 of the family's 1831-position model. The record is from RNAcentral.